CAUAUACCCAGCAAACAUGCAUAUAUGGGACCCAUAUGGGCUAUAUCUAGGCAAGCCCAUAUGGGUAUGCCCAUAUUGGACCUAUAUGGGACCAAUAUGGGCAAGUCCAUUUGGGUACGCCCAUAUUGGACCCAUAUGGGUCCCAUAUUACAGCACUAUAAGGAAAAACGAUUUUUCGUUUAUUUAUUUCUUUAGAACUUGUUUACUUUGAGCUAUAGUGUGACCACCUUGGCAUAAAUUGCUAUUAUCUUUUAUAAAAAUCGUAGCAUAAACAUAUAUACAAGCCAUGAGGGACCCAUAUGGGUCCCAUUCGGGCAACCCAAUAAAUAUUAGCAUGCCUGAGCAGGUGCGAGAAAUUAAUUUGUUUAGUUUUUAUAUUGGUUUUAAUUUUUAUAAUCUAAAUAUAAAAAUGUGUUUUUAGACUAUUUAUUCAGAAAUAAUUUAUAAAAAUCAGCAUUUGAUGAAAAAUUUAUUUCGAGCAUGCGCAGACGUGAUUUCCGCUGCCGCUUAAAAUCAAAUUGUGUAUUGAAACGUUAAAUUGUAAAAUUGUACAUGAAAACAAUAUUUCAUUUCAAUUCGGAACAUUUAACGACGAUUUCGUAUAACGACCUUUCAUAUUAUAUCCUUACAGAUUUAUUGUGUGUGAAGGCCAUCAAAAAGGCUGUAUGAAUCGGAUAGUGGCACUGAUGAGAAUGAGACAGACACAGAGAGUAGGCCACCACAAGUUAUUGACCAAGCAACAACGCCCAAAGAGUCACAAAGCCUACUUUCAUCUCCGCCUCGCUUAUCUGCACAGGCAUUGCUAGAGGCCAGCAGUGAUGUGCAAAGUGCUUCUCCAAUACAAGGUGCUUCUGAUACACCCUUCCGUGGGCAGAUUAUUGGGCCCACUGCUGUUACACAGAUUCUCCGAGUCUUGGAGACAAUGCGAGAGAAGAAUCGUGAAAUUAAGAGGAUGGUGCAGCGAAUGCUGUUAAGGUCAGCAGCAGAUGACCAACCGCUGCAACUUCCGAAAGAUAUCUCAUUCCCUAUUCGUUAUCCUGAGCAGAUGGAAGCAUUCGAUAAGCUUCUGGGAGAUCAGACAAUGCUCUCAUCUGUGGUGCGGUUCCUCUCAAUGUUUGGUAUGGCAGAUGUACGGGAAACUGUUGACCGCUUGAUGAAAGAAAUGAACUGGCAAUAAUGUACAAUAUGAAGUGGCUGAAGGGGAAGAAAAAGUUUGUGGGCCUCUAGAUACUGAAUGUAUUGUAUAAAUGUGUCCAAAGGAACUUGCCGACAAAGGCUGCAACGAGGAAGGAUGUUGAAAUAGAGGUUUCAAAGUGGCUGGCUGGGGCGCGGGACCGCGAUGGGGGAAGGAAAGCAAGAAACAAAGUGUCAGAGACCUUACCUGAAGAAAAUGAAGGAAGUGACUAGACAUGUUUUUAAUUUAAAAAUGCAAAUUUAUAGAGGAUAUUUGUUUGUUUGUGUGUAAGAUGAAAUUUUAUAUCAUCAAGAGAGCUUUAAAAACAGUAUUCUCAUGAGUGGCUAUGCGCUCGUGAGAACACUGUUUUUUAAAGUUCCUUCAAUGAUAUAAAAUUACAUCUUACACAACAAACAAUAAAGUGUCUUUUUAUUUUAUGCUAAUGCAAUUUCCUCAAUAUUAACGUUAAUAUUAAAUCUGUUUUCUCCACUGUUAACAUCAAUUUUAGUUGAAGUCCAAUUUCUCAUAAAUACAGGAAGUCUUGGGCUGAA
Molecule: RNA transcript, 1725 nt
Organism: Ruditapes philippinarum (Manila clam)
Lineage: Eukaryota; Metazoa; Mollusca; Bivalvia; Venerida; Veneridae
Exons: 5
Source: RefSeq, a predicted model, not a curated record